This 253-nucleotide ribosomal RNA is filed under the name uncultured bacterium. RNAcentral's name for it is "partial 16S ribosomal RNA". It matches the Rfam family "Bacterial small subunit ribosomal RNA", at positions 524 to 776 of the family's 1533-position model. The record is from RNAcentral.
GACAGAGGGUGCAAACGUUGCUCGGAAUUACUGGGCGUAAAGCGCGUGUAGGCGGACUGAUAAGUCAGAUGUGAAAUCCCCGGGCUCAACUCGGGAACUGCAUUUGAAACUGCUAGUCUGGAGUGAUGGAGAGGAAAGCGGAAUUCCUGGUGUAGAGGUGAAAUUCGUAGAUAUCAGGAGGAACACCGGUGGCGAAGGCGGCUUUCUGGACACUAACUGACGCUGAGACGCGAAAGCGUGGGGAGCAAACAGG